ACCACUAGCAGCGUCUGCACAGAUCGACCCCGCCAUCCCGCCGUCCCGCUCGGUGACUGGAGACGCAGCCGGGAACGCGACUGAUCAGGCUACCGAGCCGGGCCGCAGGGCGAAAGCGGUGCGGUCCGAGGCCUUAGAAAGGGACACGCAGCAGCGGCAGUGGCGCUGACUCAGCCCGGCCUCCCUGCAGUCCCCUGGCAGCGGUAGCAGCCACAGGGGCGGGCGGCUGGGCCACACGCCUCCCCCGCCCUCGGCCCCACCCGGCCGCACCCUAAGCCGCGCGGCAUCGCAGAGCGCAUGCGUGCCGCGGGGGAUGCCGGGAGCGCGCAGUGGCGGCAGCGGCGGCGACGGCAGUAACAGCGGCAGCUACAGCGGGGACGCGAGCGGGGCGGUGACGGUGUGGGAGGUGGUCUCACUCUUGGGAAAACUGCUGGGCACCGUCGUCGCGCUGAAGGUGGUUCUGUACCUGCUCCGAGUGUGCUUAGCGAUGGCCUGGAAAUCCGGCGGCGCCAGCCACUCGGAGCUAAUCCACAAUCUCCGCAAAAAUGGAAUCAUCAAGACAGAUAAAGUAUUUGAAGUGAUGCUGGCUACAGACCGCUCCCACUAUGCAAAAUGUAACCCAUACAUGGAUUCUCCACAAUCAAUAGGUUUCCAAGCAACAAUCAGUGCUCCACACAUGCAUGCAUAUGCGCUAGAACUUCUAUUUGAUCAGUUGCAUGAAGGAGCUAAAGCUCUUGAUGUAGGAUCUGGAAGUGGAAUCCUUACUGCAUGUUUUGCACGUAUGGUUGGAUGUACUGGAAAAGUCAUAGGAAUUGAUCACAUUAAAGAGCUAGUAGAUGACUCAAUAAAUAAUGUCAGGAAGGACGAUCCAACACUUCUGUCUUCAGGGAGAGUACAGCUUGUUGUGGGGGAUGGAAGAAUGGGAUAUGCUGAAGAAGCCCCUUAUGAUGCCAUUCAUGUGGGAGCUGCAGCCCCUGUUGUACCCCAGGCGGUGAGUCGGGAUUUUUUCUGUUUGUGUGUUUUUAUUCAACUAAAACUCUACAAGACUUAAAUAGAAAAGACUUCUAGAUGAUGUUCAAAAUAUAAUUAGACUUUUAUAUCAUACAUUUUGGUUACAAUUAGCUGCUACUCUUUUCUUUUUUCAUAUGCAAACAAUUGUAUAAAUGACAUGAAAAUUACUAAACCCCAGUUUGUGGCGCUCAUAUUUGAUCCAGGUAAGAACUAGGACAACAGUAGAAUUGGGAAAAUCCCUCUGGAGUUUAUGACCUGAUAAUCAGGGUUUUUUUUGUUUGUUUUUUGUUUUUUGUUUUUUUUUUUUGCUCUUGUCAAAAAAGAGUUUUGCUCUUGUCGCCCAGGCUGGAGUGCAGUGGCCCAAUUUCAGCUCACUGCAACCUCCGCCUCCCGGGUUCAAGUGAUUCUCCUGCCUCAGCCUCCUGAGUAGCUGGGAUUACAGGCGUGAGCCACUGCACCCGGCCAGUUUGAUGUUUUUUAAAUAGCAGAAUAUGUAAGGCUGUAUUUGGUGUAUGGGAGAUAUGAGAAAGUAUUUGCCAUACAUCAUAUUCUCACAAAGCUUGUAUUCUAGAAGAGAUAUGUCAUAUAUGUAACUGGGAAAUUAGCGAUAUGAUAACAUAUAAUUAACACAGGAUAUCUAUUGGAAGGAAAAUAAAAUAUGCAUAUGAGGGAGAGAAUUGUGCAGUGAGUGGUCAAGGAGACAUCACACACGGAUGGAACUUGAACUGAAUCUUAAGAAUAGUAGGAUAUAUGGCCGGGCAUGGUGGCUCAUGCAUGUAACCCCAGCACCUUGGGAGGCCAAGGUGGGAGGAUUGCUUGAGCCUAGGAGUUUGAGACCAGUCUGAGUAACAUGGCAAGACCCUGUUUAAAAAAAAAAAUUAGCCAGGCACAGUGGGGCAUAUGCCUGUAGCCCCAGCUACUCUGGAGGCUGAGGUGGGAGAAUUGCUUGAGCCCAAGCUGUUGAGGCUGCAUUGAGCCAUGUUUGUGCCAUGGCACUGUAGCCUGUGGUCCUAGAUUUCUGUUACAUAUGGCUUUUGCGUAGUUCUUGAGUAGAUGACCAGGGGAUGAAGGUGACACUGUUUCUUCUGUCUAGUCUCAUCCGUUUUUUUUGUAGGCUUAGAUCAGUUAUGGGAAGAUGAAAGUUGUAUAAUUUGUUCUGGUCAUUGACUUGCUGCUUAUUGGCCAAGUGACUGGGAAAAUGACUUAAUUGCUUUGGCCCUGUUGAUUAUCUGUUUAAAAAAAAAAAGUAGCUCACGCCUGUAAUCCCAGCACUUUGGGAGGCUAAGGCAGAUGAAUCACUUGCGCUCAGAAGUUCGAGACCAGCCUGGGCAAUAUGGCAAAACCCCAUCUCUACAAAAAAUACAAAAAAUUAGAUGUGCCAGGCACUUGUAGUCCCAGCUACUCAAGAGGCUGAGGUGGGAGGAUAGCUUGGAUUGCGUGAGCCUGAGAGGUUGAGGCUGCAGUGAGCCAUGCUUGUACUGCUGCAUUCCAACCUGGGUGACAAAGUGAGACCCUGUCUCAAAAAAAAAAAAAAAAAAAAAAGGUAGAUUGAACCAGUGGUUUUAACACAUUUUAACUGAAGUAUUAAUAUAAUGUAGAAAAUUUUGCAAGUCAUAAACGAACAGCUCAAUGAAUUUGAACGCAUGACCAAUGGGUUUUUAACUUUUCAAAAAAAAAUAUUGACAACCUAGAGUGAACAGUUAAAAUCUGAAAUAGAACUGUGUUUAAAUGAGGCGGGUGGGUGCAGGGCCCAUUUCUCCCUACUGGGACCCUGAAGUGAUCUUGAAAGAUAUUUCUAGAUUUAAUUAAAUUGAAUUUAAAUAUUGUAGUAAUACUUGCAAGUAUUAUAGGGGUAUGUAUACAUCUGAUUUAAGAUAGAUGUACUGAAGGGGCUUUCUAGUUUUAAGAUAGCAGAAUGAAGAUGUUUAUGCCUUCUUUUGGAUAUCACCCCAAGAUAACCAGAAAAACAGAAGCAUAAACUCCAUACUCAAUUAACUAGGAGACUAUACCUGCAAUCCUGAACUCCACAGUGUGUGAAGAUAGAAAGCAGAUGGAAUAAUAGCUGACCCAGGAGGGUAGAGGAAGUAGAAACUAAAGAGACUACAGAGUGAAAUAUUAUGCAUACGCAGUUUGCUCUGCAAAACUCUGAAAAGGCUUAGGAAUUGGUGGCAUCAAGACCUUGAAAAUCAUAGGUAAAGCAUGGGUCUGAAAAGAGGGAAUGCUGCUUGAGACUCUGCAUGAGGAAUAAUCAGCACUAAUCCCUAAGUAAGAAAUUUUCUAAAAACUGGUGGACAUAAUUCUAACACAAAGAAUUUUUAAAAUAAGAAAAAAGAGCAACCAUAUCAUUUAUAUUCAGAAUAUUAGGGGAUAAAGAGAAGAUUCUGAAAGCCUCUAGAGGCCAGGUGUGGUGGCUCACACUUCUCAGCAGUUUGGGAGGCCAAGGAAGGAGGAUCGCUUGAGGAUCUGAGUUUGAGACCAGCCUGGGCAACAUAGCGAGACCCCAUCUGUACAAAAAAAUUUAAAAAUUAGCCAGAUGUGGCAGCCUGUGCCUGUAGUCCCAGCUACAUGGGAGGCUGAGGUGGGAGGAUUGCUUGAGCCCAGGAAGUUGAGAUUUCAGUGAACCAUGAUUGCACCACUGUAUUCCAGCCUAGGUGACAGAGCAAGACCCUGUCUUUAGAAAAAAUAAAUAAAAGCUUCUAGAAAAAUAAAACAGAUCUCCUGUUAAGGACUGGUAAUCAGAAAGGCAUCAGACUGCAAACAGCAUUAGAAUUUGUAAGUCAGAGUACCAAACCAUCAAAUUCUGAGUUGAAAAUUAUUUCCAACCUUGAAUUCUGUAUGCACACACAUCACCAAGAUAGUUUUAGGUUUGCAAAUCUCCAUCUCUUUCUUUUAAUACAUUCCAUGCACUAUUUCACAAAAUGCUUCUGAAGGAACUUUCUUAAAUGAUUAAGAUGUCUUAAAAUGUCUUAAAAUUUAAUGUAUUAAAAUGCCAUUUUUGUCAUCCAAAAAUGAAAUGAGGGAAGAGACAGAUAGUAGGAAAAACCAAAAGAGGAAACCACAUAAGGCAUCUUGAUCAGGCAGAGGCAUGGAAGUUUGCGGGAUUGUUACAAAGGGAAGGGCCUGGAUGGAAGCUGUGCAGCAGGCCUGGAGAAUAACCAGCUCAGAUUUGGAGCAAGAGGAGGAAAGGAAACAAUGAUUGGAUACUUCUUGACUCAGCAGCAAAUCAUAGUUACACAGUCAUAACUAGAAAUGAUUUUAAUAAAAAAUGAUUGGUUGGAUUGGGGGAAGGAAGCAGAAUGUAGAUUAAGGGAGUUCAAUCCUUAUCUAGCAUAUGUUUUGAAAUAUAAAGGUAAAUACUAGAAGACAUAGCUAAAAGGAUUUGAAAUGACUGGAUUUAGAGAGCAAGGGUGGGGUAGGGAGAGGAAGUCAGCUGUUUUUCAUUAUAAGCCUUGAAAUUGAGAAAAACAAGAAGAUAGACUUGCAGACAACCAAAACUUUGAUUGAGGGCACCCUUUCCUGAGGUAAUAAAUAUCCAAAGUAAGGUUUCUGGCUGGGCAUGGUGGCUCAUGCCUGUAAUCCCAGUACUUUAAGAGGCCGAGGAGAGCGGAUCACUUGAGGUUAGGAGUUCGAGACCAGCCUGGCCAACAUGUUGAAAGCCCGUCUCUAUUAAAAAUACAAAAAAAAUUAGUCGGGCUCGGUGCAUGGCACCUGUACUCCCAGCUACUUGGGAGGCUGAGGCAUGAGAAUUGCUUGAACCCGGGAGGCGGAGGUUGCAGUGAGCCGAGAUCGUGCCACUGCACUCCAGCCUGGGUGACAGAGUGAGACUCAGUCUCAAAACAAUAAAAAACUACAACAAAAAACAAAACAAAACAAAAAACCAAAGUAAGGUUUCUUCUUUAAUGUUUUUUAUUAAUAGUGAUCCGUAAAGCUAUAUGAAAAUGGUAACAUGAUUUAAAAGUUUUCUGACUGUAAGAGCUUUCAUUGAAUACUCUUGGUUCUUCAUUGACAGGAGUGUCCUCAUUCUAACACUGCAGGGACUCCAGCCCUACCUUCCCUCCUUAUGGUACCAGUAAACCUCAAUUGAAUCGUAUAACUAGGGUUCCCUUAUCCCUUCAGUGAUGCCCUAGAUUCUACAAUAAUAGGAUAGGGAUUCCUUGCUGAUUUUCUACACUUCCUCUCCUCCCCUCCUCCUUCCUUCAAACCCACAAAGAUUCAAAACAGGCACACAGGCAUUAGAAUUCUAUGCUCUGCCUUUGGCCCGCCAAGAGGAUAGUUCUAUAUUAGUUGGUUCAGUUCAAACAUUUUGAGCACUACAGUUGUACCAGGUACUGUGUUAGAUGCUAAAGACACAAAGAUGAAUAAGACACAGUCCCCAUCCUCAAGAGCUUGUCGUUUAAUAGAGGAGGCUGAUAGUUGAGUAAUAAUAUAACAAUCAAAGUAUGUACAGGGUGAGUAUCCCUUCUCCAAAAUAUUUGGGACCAGAAGUGUUUUGGAUUUUGGAUUUUUUCAGAUUUUUUCACAUUUUGGAAUAUUUACAUAUACAUAAUGAGAUAUCUUGGGAAUGGGACCAAGUCUAAACAUAAAACUCAUUUAUGUUAUACCUCUUAUACACGUAGCCUGAAGGUAAUUUUGUAUAAUAGUUCAAAUAAUUUUGUGCAUGGAAUAAAGUUGUGACUGCAUUUUGACUGUGACUUGCCACAUGAGGUCAGGUGUGAAAUUAUCUACUUGUGGUGUCAUGUUGAUGUUCAGAGUUUUGGAUUUUGGAGCAUUUCCAGUUUCGGGUUUUCAGAUUAUUGAUGCUCAACCUGUAUAUACUAUGUAUUUAUUUUUAAGACGGAGUCUC
This is an RNA transcript of Pan troglodytes (chimpanzee), 5854 nucleotides long. It is a transcript of the gene named protein-L-isoaspartate (D-aspartate) O-methyltransferase, with no coding region annotated. NCBI's taxonomy places the organism in Eukaryota, Metazoa, Chordata, Mammalia, Primates, Hominidae. The record is from RefSeq and is a predicted model, not a curated record. The transcript is spliced from 7 exons.